Non-coding RNA from Myotis davidii, 76 nucleotides. The record is from Rfam. NCBI's taxonomy places the organism in Eukaryota, Metazoa, Chordata, Mammalia, Chiroptera, Vespertilionidae.
GGCAGUUCUUGGGUGACACACCCCGGAAUUGGGCUCCCUUCUCCUCUGGUUCCGGGUGCGUCACCCAAGAACCGCA